Molecule: ribosomal RNA, 460 nt
Filed under: uncultured bacterium
Lineage: Bacteria
Description: partial 16S ribosomal RNA
Rfam family: Bacterial small subunit ribosomal RNA
Source: RNAcentral
CCUACGGGUGGCAGCAGUGAGGAAUAUUGGUCAAUGGACGCAAGUCUGAACCAGCCAUGCCGCGUGAAGGAAGAAGGUACAAUGAGUUGUAAACUGCUUUUGUACGAGGGUAAACGCAGAUACGCGUAUCUGUCUGAAAGUAUCGUACGAAUAAGCAUCGGCUAACUCCGUGCCAGCAGCCGCGGUAAUACGGAGGAUUCAAGCGUUAUCCGGAUUUAUUGGGUUUAAAGGGUGCGUAGGCGGUCGGAUAAGUUAGAGGUGAAAUCCCGGGGCUCAACUUCGGAAAUGCCUCUGAGACGGGCCGGCUAGAGUGUAGUUGCGGUAGGCGGAAUGUGUGGUGUAGCGGUGAAAUGCUUAGAGAUCAUGCAGAACACCGAUUGCGAAGGCAGCUUACCAGGCUACUUCUGACGCUGAGGCACGAAAGCGUGGGUAGCAAACAGGAUUAGAUACCCCGGUAGUC